AUGGCGGAGGAACCGUCCGCCAAAUGUCAUCAAGGUGAGCCGUCGGACAAGAGCAGCAACCUCGUCGACGUUCACGUCCCCGGCGAGAAGCGAGAGUACACCACAACACUCACAGGGGUUGAGCUCCUCGGCAAGGAGACGCUGGAGAUCGUCUGCACCAGCGAACCAGACAAGGCCGACGAGGUGAUCUCCAGGCUCUGGAGGAAGCUUGGCGGCAUGCUUCGUAGGAUCGUCGGCGUUGGUGUGCACUACACCAACGAAGAUGAACCUCCCUAG
RNAcentral lists this ribosomal RNA (276 nucleotides) under Triticum aestivum (bread wheat). RNAcentral's name for it is "partial small subunit ribosomal RNA". The record is from RNAcentral. Lineage: Eukaryota; Viridiplantae; Streptophyta; Magnoliopsida; Poales; Poaceae.